UGCUUUGNGUAAGUAUGAAGUUAUUCUGAGC
RNAcentral lists this non-coding RNA (31 nucleotides) under Rattus norvegicus (Norway rat). Lineage: Eukaryota; Metazoa; Chordata; Mammalia; Rodentia; Muridae. The record is from RNAcentral.